Molecule: long non-coding RNA, 1065 nt
Organism: Ictalurus punctatus (channel catfish)
Lineage: Eukaryota; Metazoa; Chordata; Actinopteri; Siluriformes; Ictaluridae
Source: Ensembl
AGAACACCCAGAGAGACCCAGAGAGACACAGGCAGACUCAGAGAGACUCAGAGAGACAGGCAGGCACAGAGAGACCCAGGCAAGCAGAGAGCGACACAGAGAGAUCCAGACAGGCACAGAGAGACACAGAGAUACCCAGAAGGGCACAGAGAGACACAGAGAGAUCCAGGAAGGCACAGAGAGACACACAGAGAGACCCAGGCAGGCACAGAGAGGCACAGAGAGACACAGAGAGACCCAGGCAGGCACAGAGAGACACACAGAGAGACACAGGCAGGGCACAGAGAGACACACAGAGAGACCCAGGCAGGCACAGAGAGGCACAGAGAGACACACAGAGAGACCCAGGCAGGCACAGAGAGACACAGAGAGAGACACAGAGAGAGACCCCAGGAAGGCACGAGAGACACAGAGAGAGAUCAGGAAGGCACAGAGAGACCCAGGAAGGCACAGAGAGAACAGAGAGAGACCCAGGAAGGCACAGAGAGACACAGAGACCCAGGAAGGCACAGAGAGACACAGAGACCCAGGAAGGCACAGAGAGACACAGAGAGAUCCAGGAAGGCACAGAGAGACCACAUAGAGACCCAGGAAGGCACAGAGAGACACAUAGAGACCCAGGAAGGCACAGAGAGACACAGAGAGAUCCAGGAAGGCACAGAGAGACACAGAGAGAUCCAGGAAGGCACAGGGAGACACAUAGAGACCCAGGAAGGCAUAGAGAGACACAGAGAGACCCAGGCAGGCUUUAGAGACAGACAGAGAGAUCCAGGAAGGCACAGAGAGACAAUACAGACAGAGGCAGGCACAGACACACACACAGAGACCACACACACACACACACACACACACUACAUACAUGCGGUGUCUCUCUUUCACACAGAUAGAGACAUGCAGAGACACACAGACACAUAUACACAGACACAAAGACACCCAUCUACCCACACACAUACACACCGCUCCUCAUGACGUCACUGAGGUUAGUGUAGCCACUGUAGCUGCUAAUGCACUUCACAGUAUCUCCUGAAAACUACAACUCCAGCCUUAUUUAUCCUCCUAAUGAAC